AUACGGAGGACGCGAGCGUUAUCCGGAUUCAUUGGGUUUAAAGGGAGCGUAGGCGGGAGCUUAAGUCAGCGGUUAAAUGGUGCGGCUCAACCGUGCCCUGCCGUUGAAACUGGGUUUCUUGAGAGUGCAAGAGGCGGAUGGAAUUCAUGGGGGAGCGGGGAAAUGCUUAGAUAUCAUGAAGAACUCCGAUUGCGAAGGCAGUCCGCUGGGGCACGUCUGACGCUGAUGCUCGAAGGUGCGGGAAUCAAACAGGAUUAGAUACCCUGGUAGUCCGCACGGUAAACGAUGAUUACCCGCUGUCGGCGGUAGACAGUCGGCGGCCAAGCGAAAGCGAUAGGUAAUCCACCUGGGGAGUACGCCGGCAACGGUGAAACUCAAAUGAAUUGACGGGG
RNAcentral lists this ribosomal RNA (392 nucleotides) under uncultured bacterium. Its description in RNAcentral is "partial 16S ribosomal RNA". It matches the Rfam family "Bacterial small subunit ribosomal RNA", at positions 523 to 918 of the family's 1533-position model. The record is from RNAcentral.